Non-coding RNA from Pocillopora verrucosa, 381 nucleotides. The record is from RefSeq and is a predicted model, not a curated record. NCBI's taxonomy places the organism in Eukaryota, Metazoa, Cnidaria, Anthozoa, Scleractinia, Pocilloporidae.
AAUGCUUGUUUGGGGUAUCUUCGGAUCGAGAUCACGAGAAACUGCGAUGAAAACAGAUAGUGUAUUCUGACUUUGAGAAUUAUUUCCCUAAAUAAAAGGCUGGAAUGAAGAGAUGAUGAGAAAACGAAAAGAAAAUAAAGCACCAGAUAUCAAUUUACGAAUGACGAGUGAAAUCAAUAUACAUUCAAGGUGUGGCUAUAGCAGUCCCAGGGUGUUUUUAUGCGACUACCGUCUGAGUCAAGAAAAGGAAAGUGGAAAGCAUUAAUGGAGCAAAAUGGGCGGACUGUUCCACCUGACUUGUUCCGUGGGACAGGCGUGUUUGCGGUAACUGUGUUGGAGAUUUCCAGAAAUCUCCUCUGUAAUUUGCCUUAAUUGAACAAA